Molecule: ribosomal RNA, 440 nt
Filed under: uncultured bacterium
Lineage: Bacteria
Description: partial 16S ribosomal RNA
Rfam family: Bacterial small subunit ribosomal RNA
Source: RNAcentral
CCUACGGGAGGCAGCAGUGGGGAAUAUUGCACAAUGGGGGAAACCCUGAUGCAGCGACGCCGCGUGAGUGAAGAAGUAUUUCGGUAUGUAAAGCUCUAUCAGCAGGGAAGCAAAUGACGGUACCUGAUUAAGAAGCACCGGCUAACUACUAGCCAGCAGCCGCGGUAAUACGUAGGGGGCAAGGGUUAUCCGGAUUUACUGGGUGUAAAGGGAACGUAGACGGCAGAACAAGUCUGGAGUGAAAUGCCGGGGCUUAACCCCCGAACUGCGUUGGAAACUGUCCAUCUAGAGUGCAGGAGAGGUAAGUGGAAUUCCUAGUGUAGCGGUGAAAUGCGUAGAUAUUAGGAGGAACACCAGUGGCGAAGGCGGCUUACUGGACUGUAACUGACGUUGAGGCUCGAAAGCGUGGGGAGCGAACAGGAUUAGAUACCCGAGUAGUC